AGCAGCCGCGGUAAUUCCAGCUCCAAUAGCGUAUAUUAAAGUUGUUGCAGUUAAAAGCUCGUAGUUGAAUUUCGGGAUCAAAGAAUCGGUCAUGCCUUGGUAUGUACUGGUUUUAUUGGUUCUCACCUUCUAAAGAACCAUGAUGUCAUUCAUUUGAUGUUAUGGGGAAUUAGGACUGUUACCUUGAAAAAUUAGAGUGUUUAAAGCAAGCUUACGCUUGAAUACAUUAGCAUGGAAUAAUGAAAUAGGACAUCAGAUUCUAUUUUGUUGGUUUCUAGGAUCGAUGUAAUGAUUAAUAGGGAUAGUUGGGGCAUUAGUAUUCAAUUUGUCAGAGGGUGAAAUUCUUGGGAUUUAUUGAAGACUAACUACUGCGAAAGCAUUUGCCAAGGAUGUUUUCAUUAAUUCAGACGAAAGUUUAGGGGAUCGAAGACGAUCAGAUACCGUCGUAGUCUUAACCCAUAAAACCUAUGCCGACUA
RNAcentral lists this ribosomal RNA (477 nucleotides) under uncultured Glomus. RNAcentral's name for it is "SSU rRNA". It matches the Rfam family "Eukaryotic small subunit ribosomal RNA", at positions 569 to 1048 of the family's 1831-position model. Lineage: Eukaryota; Fungi; Glomeromycota; Glomeromycetes; Glomerales; Glomeraceae. The record is from RNAcentral.